AUUGAACGCUGGCGGCAUGCCUUACACAUGCAAGUCGAACGGCAGCACGGGGGCAACCCUGGUGGCGAGUGGCGAACGGGUGAGUAACAUAUCGGAACAUACCCUAGAGUGGGGGAUAACGUAGCGAAAGUUACGCUAAUACCGCAUACGAUCUAAGGAUGAAAGUGGGGGAUCUUCGGACCUCAUGCUCAUGGAGUGGCCGAUAUCUGAUUAGCUAGUUGGUGAGGUAAAGGCUCACCAAGGCGACGAUCAGUAGCUGGUUUGAGAGAACGACCAGCCACACUGGAACUGAGACACGGUCCAGACUCCUACGGGAAGCAGCAGUGGGGAAUUUUGGACAAUGGGGCAACCCUGAUCCAGCAAU
RNAcentral lists this ribosomal RNA (364 nucleotides) under uncultured bacterium. RNAcentral describes it as "bacterial SSU rRNA". It matches the Rfam family "Bacterial small subunit ribosomal RNA", at positions 30 to 395 of the family's 1533-position model. The record is from RNAcentral.